This is a long non-coding RNA of Hemicordylus capensis (graceful crag lizard), 294 nucleotides long. RefSeq lists it as uncharacterized. The record is from RefSeq and is a predicted model, not a curated record. NCBI's taxonomy places the organism in Eukaryota, Metazoa, Chordata, Lepidosauria, Squamata, Cordylidae. The transcript has 3 exons.
CACGUGACUCCAAGGGGAAGCCCCCCAGACGGAGGUUCUUCAAGAGGAGGAACCGUGUUGAGCCAACUUCGGCUCCUCCUCCAACUCUGGCUUCUCCUCCAACUGCAGAAGAGGGCUUCCAAACAUCGUCAGGAGUCACAAUUGCCUUGAGCACCGCAUGGCAAAAAAAGGAAAGAGCUAAGAUCAUUCUCUGGUGGACAUCCUUUCUUAAUUCCAUUGCGGUGCAAGUCAAUGGCGCAGAGUCGGAUACAUUGCAGUUCAGCAAGCUGAAGAUUGUCGAAUUCAUUUUGGUGA